AUAGAGACUCAGAGCUGCAUAUCAAUAAGCGGAGGAAAAGAAACUAACUAGGAUUCCCUUAGUAACGGCGAGUGAAGCGGGAAGAGCUCAAAUUUGAAAUCUUCAAGGUUCUACCUUGACGAAUUGUAGUUUAAAGAAGUGUUUUCUGUUAGGAGUGAGUACAAAGUUCCUUGGAAAUGGACAUCAUAGAGGGUGAGAAUCCCGUAUUUGGAUUAUUCAUUCUAGCUUUGUGAUACACUUUCAAAGAGUCGGAUUGUUUGGGAAUGCAGUCCAAAAUGGGUGGUAAAUUUCAUCUAAAGCUAAAUAUUGGCGAGAGACCGAUAGCGAACAAGUACCGUGAGGGAAAGAUGAAAAGAACUUUGAAAAGAGAGUUAAACAGUACGUGAAAUUGUCAAAAGGGAAGCGUUUGACACCAGUGUUGUUUUUCUCGAAAAUCAAUUACAAAUGGCUGGAUUUUGUGUUGUAUUGACCUUAUCAGCUUUCUGCACUUUUUUCUAGUCUUUCUUAAUGCACUUUUCGUUUAACAAGUCAACAUCAAUUUCUUUUGUUGUAAAAGGGUCAUUGGAAGGUGGCUUUCUUUUCGGAGAAAGUGUUUAUAGCCUUUGGCCUCUGCAAUCGGAGAGAUUGAGGUCCUGCAGCGUAGAUCCUUCGGGGUUAGAUACACUUGUGCUAAGUUGUAGCCUUUUCAUAGACAACUUGUUGACUAUGAUCAGUCAUGUAGCUUACUCGCUUAUGCUAUUUUACCUACGCUUAGGAUGUUGACGAUCAGCUGAGCGCG
This 778-nucleotide ribosomal RNA is filed under the name uncultured Neocallimastigales. RNAcentral describes it as "partial large subunit ribosomal RNA". It matches the Rfam family "Eukaryotic large subunit ribosomal RNA", at positions 23 to 646 of the family's 3401-position model. The record is from RNAcentral. Lineage: Eukaryota; Fungi; Neocallimastigomycota; Neocallimastigomycetes; Neocallimastigales.